Ruditapes philippinarum (Manila clam) is the source of this 2929-nucleotide long non-coding RNA. RefSeq lists it as uncharacterized. The transcript is spliced from 4 exons. NCBI's taxonomy places the organism in Eukaryota, Metazoa, Mollusca, Bivalvia, Venerida, Veneridae. The record is from RefSeq and is a predicted model, not a curated record.
UCCGGGGGGGCUUUUGUCCUACACUCCAAAAAAACCUCUAGUAAUUGAUUUUGGUUUAGCAGUAGGGGAAAGCAUCUUAUCCUUGUGCCCCAACCCAACCACUAUAUUAUUUACAAGAUUUAUUCCGUAUUCUUUUAUGUAGAUCUAUUAUAUAAACAGUAUAGAUCUAGUAGAUAGCCGAUGCAAUAUACUGCUAGAUCUACAGGUUUUACUUCUGAAAAUUAUAUAAAAACUGGUCUAAUCCAGAUGAUUUCCAAUUUGUUUAUAGACUAAGAAAAAAACUCACCCAAAACUACAAAAUGUAUCCGUGUUCGUUCAUUUCCCCUUCCACAUCACAAAUAUCCCUUUUGAAGUUUACUAUCUCCGGCACAAAACCUUUUGGAUGACCGAAUAUUUAACUUUCCACGGUAAUCACACAACGGGGUCAAUGCAGUUGAUGACGCAAAAGUGGACGACUUCAUUUUCACGCCAUUGAAGGGGUGUCCAGCUCGAUGCCAGUGUGUAAACGUUUUAAUGAUAUUUCUGAUGAAUCAACAUUUCAAUUAUUCAUAACUGAUGGAAAGGAUAAUUUAAUUAUCCUAUAAAACCUGGGACAAAAGGUAUUUUAAGUCACAGAUAAACGAAAAUGCUUUCACGAAAAUUGUGUCCUGCAUACGGAGUACCUGACUCCCCCGUGUAAGCGUAUCGAUUUGUCCGUUGCCGCCGAAACUCUUUGAACUUCGAGCGGGUGCCUGUGUAGUUUAAAGACACGCAAAGCUGAGGUUUAAACGUGUAAAUUAAUUGUUACAAGAGGUCUCGUUUAAAUUUGCCGUAGACAUGCGGGAUGUUUCUUAAAGACUAGAAACAUGUAGUCUUAGACUUUAGUGGCUCAACUGCCUUAUAGUCUUAUCACAGUAAAUACUUCAGUGACAGACCGCUAUGACUUCAAAACAGGGAAUCAGACUGAAAUACAAUAAAAUAUUUCAGUAAAGAUCAGUAAUUGAAGAGAUUUUAAUGGAUGGGAGUGGGACUCACAUGAAAUAGAGUUUCCUUUUAGGGUCUAUUAUCUUAGCCAGUAAACUGCAUGUGAGCAAGGGGAAUGUGAUAAGAGAAGACUGGUGAUAAUAAACAGAGGCCACUCAAAAAAAGAAAAUAUACUGUUGUGAAAAAGACUCAAAAUGGCAGAAAAUAAUUGGAUUUUACAUGGGCAUAUUCUGUUGUAACUUCGAUUUGGUAGCUAAAAAUUGUUUAACAAUACCUGUAUGGCUGUGAAGAGAGAUGUUGAGAGUGAUUGUUAUACACACAGGCUUUCAAACCAGUACAAGCAAAUUACUGUUGAAUGAACAAACAAAAUUGGGCUAUAACAUAUGGAAGCGGCUUGUUCUAGAUUAUUUUUAUAAACCCUACACAACUAUGAUGAUAAGUGGGAUAUACUAGAAUCAGAUUGUCUGUCUGUCUGCCUCACAGUCCACCUAUUGGAGCUAUUGAAGUGAAACUUAAUAUAGACAGAUGUAUCUCAUUGCAGUGAAAUUUAGUUCCAAGGCAUUUAAUCAAAUUUGUUUUUCAUAUGAUAGAUCAGUCAAAAUGUUUCUUAUUUAGUGAUUUAUUUGUGGCUCAAAUUUAGCAAUUGAAACUAAACUUGCCUCAUAAUGGUCUUGAACUUAUAUGUCAAAUUAGUGUAUUUUCACCAUUUUUAGCUUGUCAUUUUUUUUUCAAAGAAAAAAAUAGAGGUAUUGUUACAGUCAAUGGCAGCUUUUCCAUUGCCGUCCGCAAUCUUUAACUUUGAUCAAAAUGUCUAAAUUAUCGCAUUUUAUUCUAUCAAAUUGUAAUAUCUGUUUUGUUAAGGGGGAACGGUUCCACUUUAGAAAAUGUGUCAUAGAUAAGUUUUGAAAUUUAUUUUUUAUUUUGAGUAGGGAAUGGUUCCCUCUUACUGGUAACCUGGCUCUAAAAUUCUAAAUUAUUGCAUUUUAUUCUAUCAAAUUUUUAAAUCUGUUUUGUUAAGGGGGAACGGUUCCACUUUAGAAAAUGGAUAAGAGAUAAGUUUUGAAAUUUAUUUUUUUAUUUUGAUGAGGGAACGGUUCCCCCUUACCAGUAACAUGGCUUUAAAUUUCUAAAUUAUUGCAUUUUAUUCUAUCAAAUUGUUAUAUCUGUUUUGUUAAGGGGGAACGGUUCCACUUUAGAAAAUUGGUAAGUGAUAAGUUUUGAAUUUUGUUUUUUAUAUCGAUGAGGGAACGGUUCCCUCUUACGGGUAAACUUGCUCUAAAUUUCUAAAUUAUUGUAUUUCAUUCUAUCAAAUUGUUAUUUCUGUUUUGUUAAGGGGAAAUGGUUCCACUUUAGAAAAUGGGUAAGAGAUAAGUUUUGAUAUUUAUUUUUUAUUUUGAUGAGGGAACGGUUCCCUCUUACGGGUAACCUUGCUCCAAAUUUCUAAAUCAUUGCAUUUUAUUCUAUCAAAUUGUUAUUUCUGUUUUGUUAAGGGGGAACGGUUCCACUUUAGAAAAUGUGUCAUACUUAAGUUUUUAAAAAAAAAUUUUUAUUUCGAUGAGGGAACGGUUCCCUCUUACUGGUAACAUGGCUCUGAAUUUCUAAAUUAUUGCAUUUUAUUCUAUCAAAUUGUUAUAUCUAUUUUGUUAAGGGGGAACGGUUCCACUUUAGAAAAUUGGUAAGUGAUAAGUUUUGAAAUUUAUUUUUUUUUUUGAUGAGGGAACGGUUCCCUCUUACGGGUAACCUUGCUCUUAAUUUCUAAAUUAUUGCAUUUUAUUCUAUCAAAUUGUUAUUUCUGUUUUGUUAAGGGGGAACGGUUCCACUUUAGAAAAUGUGUCAUACUUAAGUUUUUAAAAAAAAAAAAUUAUUUCGAUGAGGGAACGGUUCCCUCUUACUGGUAACAUGGCUCUGAAUUUCUAAAUUAUUGCAUUUUAUUCUAUCAAAUUGUUAUAUUCUAUUUUGUUAAGGG